GAAGACCCCUUCUUAGCAUAGUUCCUAUUCUUUCCUGGGUAGGGCUAGUAAGAGAUACAUUUCUUUUUCUUAGGGGUCCUUGCGAGCGAGUGCUACUGCACUUUACAGUGGAUAAUCAAGUUAUAGUUUCAAUCCUAGGGCCUUCCAUAUUUUUUGAUUCAGCCGAGUGAUUCGAUGGAGUUGGAGCCAAUUACCCUUGUUGUCAGGCCAACUUGGAGGAGUUUUAGUUGCCUCUUUUUCGGUGCAGCCGA
This 251-nucleotide unclassified non-coding RNA is filed under the name Hevea brasiliensis (rubber tree). The record is from RNAcentral. Lineage: Eukaryota; Viridiplantae; Streptophyta; Magnoliopsida; Malpighiales; Euphorbiaceae.